GAAAUGAAAAUAAUGGUGGGUAUUUUUUGGAGGGUAGGAGCUUAAGUAAUGGCCAUGACAAUAAUGAGCGUGAGAUUGAUGUUGUGGAGGAAAUGGAGAAAUUGGAGAUAGAAGGAAAUGGCACAGAGCAUUCGGAGUUAAAGGGUGUGCGGAUUCCAUUGCCUUGGGAGAUUUUGCAGCCAUUAUUGAGGCUUUUGGGACAUUGUUUGUUGGGGCCUUUGAAUUCCCAAGAUGUUAAGGAUGCAGCAUCUGUGGCAGUUAGGCGGUUGUAUGCAAGAGGGUCUCAUGACUUGGCUCCACAAGCCAUAUUGGCCACACGGAGUCUCAUCCAGCUUG
This 336-nucleotide unclassified non-coding RNA is filed under the name Hevea brasiliensis (rubber tree). The record is from RNAcentral. Lineage: Eukaryota; Viridiplantae; Streptophyta; Magnoliopsida; Malpighiales; Euphorbiaceae.